Molecule: long non-coding RNA, 2044 nt
Organism: Megalobrama amblycephala (Wuchang bream)
Lineage: Eukaryota; Metazoa; Chordata; Actinopteri; Cypriniformes; Xenocyprididae
Exons: 3
Source: RefSeq, a predicted model, not a curated record
GCCCGACUCUGGCGGCCCUGGGUUUGAGUGAUCGGUUUGAACAGGAGGGGUUACACUGGUGCUGUGACUCGCAGAUCUCUGUGUGGUUGCAUGAAAGUCUUAAUGAAAGCCAUAGCUGCUGAACAACAGAAGACAGACGAACCACAGUGAGGGGAAGAUGCUAAGUCCCUUCGUAUAUAAAGUCUUUGGAAGAUGUGGGUGUCUCUGUCAGAUUGCUGCUGAGUUUACUAGAAACUGAUUCAGACCAAAAAUGGAUGAAGCAAACGGGCCAGCAUCUACUAAAAAAAAAGGGAGUUGCAGAACGAAACAUUUAUAAACAUUGACAAGGUUUUGAUUUGUGUUUAUGAUAUGAUGCUUGUGAAUAAUUUCCUCUAUAGCAUGGUGAUUUGCAAUUCUGUCUCUUCUUAAUUUCUUCUACAGAACAAUACCAUCUCAACUUGGAGAACUUGCAUUCUCAGAUCACUAUGAAAACCUCAUGAAGGAGUAUACAGGAAGUGUUCAGGCAUUCUUUUGAACGGUUACAAUAAAUAAUACCCCCAAUAAACUACACAAUACAGCUGUAAUCACAUACGGACUACAUUCACAUAAUAUAGUCAAUAUGCACAUACACACAGUAUACUUGACUCUUGUAGUGUAAGAACAAAAACAUUAAUAAUAAUAUACAGUAGUCUUUUAAUGAAGCACUUAAACCUGAGUAGCUAACUCUGUACCUAGUAAUCCAGUGUCAGAUUUUUCCUGGAUAACUCAUAGAUGUAAAACAAAGGUUAGUUCACCCAAAAAUGUCAUUAAUUACUCACCCUCAUGUCGUUUCAUACCCAUAAGUAAACAAUGAGGUUCAUUCUCAUGUUACGCAGCACGUUUGAGCUUCAGCAGUAUCUACAUUUUGGGGGGUCAAAGGUCACAUCAGUGGUCAUGGUUUUUAUCUAUAACAAUUUCUUCCUGAGAAGGCAUUACAUAAAUGCAUUACCACUAAUCUAUGACUGGCUGUUAUAAAAACUUUAAAGGCGUCUUACUGCAUUUUGCCUUUUGUAGGGCAGAAUAGUGGAGGAGAAAACCUGCAGUUUUAAAAAUGCUACUGUUAUUGUGUCAUGAACUGUAGUUUUAAGCAUUUUUCAGGCAGGAGUGCAAUUGUUUAAAGCUCAAAUCUGAAGUUUAUUUAUAAAGAUAGAGCCUAUUUGAAAAUGUGUUCUGAUGUUUUCGGAGAUGUGAGAUCCAGGCGAUCUCCUUUGGUCUCAUUGAUCUGUAAUUUGCUCCUGGGCAUAUAGUUUUAGCUGAGGGCAAAGUGAAGUUUCACAACUUUAUGUAUUUAUAUAUAUACGAUUGUAAGGUGCUGACUUUGUGCAUUUGAUUGAAAAGUAUUAUAAAGUCUAAAAAGCUUUUCAAAUAGCUUCUAUUGUUCAUUAAAACUGACAUUUAACAAAAUGAGACAUUAGAUAAUUUUAUUUCAUGUUUAUGAUAGAAACAUACAUACAGCUAAGAUAAUCAGAGUAUAUGCACAUAGUGCCUGACCCACAUGUUAAUAUGGUUCAUGUGGUUACAUGAACUGAUUAACUAACAGGCCUUUCACUUUCACUUUCCUGUUCCAGUAAAUGGGAGGCUUUUUAUGAAAGGGCUUAACAACCAAACAACUAUAAGAUCCUGGCUCUAAUACUGGACUUCCUCCAACAGCACACAUAUUAUAUGUCUCCUUUAUCUGACACAAUAUCAGCAGAGGAUGAUUAAUCAACUUAAGCUCAUUAUUGUGUUUAUUUAGUAUUCUUGGACUCUCAGAUGCAGCUCUAUGUAGAUGAGCAUAAAUCUGCAAAUUUCACUGGGACAUUAUACCAGAGACAGGGUGACAACAGAUAUUUCAUGGAUGAGAAGACGCUCUGCAUGCCAUUAUUUAUCCAGCUAAGGAAAAAGAGGCUGGACAUGGAGAGAGAGCAGUUAAAACCAACUACAAGUGGACAGACCUCAAUACCCACCAAAUGUGGCUUCACCAGGCAGAAACAGUGUACUUCAUUGAUUUAAUGCGGCAGCACCUGGAGGAAGAGGGUGAACUUCC